UCGUAGGUCACUUAUGGGUGAGUCGAUCCU
RNAcentral lists this unclassified non-coding RNA (30 nucleotides) under Dictyostelium discoideum. The record is from RNAcentral. Lineage: Eukaryota; Evosea; Eumycetozoa; Dictyosteliales; Dictyosteliaceae.